GAGAGUUUGAUCCUGGCUCAGAACGAACACUGGCGGCGUGGUUUAGGCAUGCAAGUCGAACGUGAAAGUCCCUUCGGGGAUUAGUACAGUGGCGAACGGGUGAGUAACGGGUGGAAAACCUGCCCUUCAAUGGGGGAUAACAGUUCUAACGAGCUGCUAAUACCGCAUACGACCUUAGGAUCGCAUGAUCUCUAGGUGAAAGGUGGCGAUCUCUUCGGAGAGCUGCCGUUGAAGGAUGGUUCCGCCUCCCAUUAGCUUGUUGGUGGGGUAAUGGCCUACCAAGGCGACGAUGGGUAGCCGGCCUGAGAGGGUGUCCGGCCACACUGGGACUGAGAUACGGCCCAGACUCCUACGGGAGGCAGCAGUCGAGAAGCUUCCGCAAUGGGGGAAACCCUGACGGAGCGACGCCGCGUGAGUGAAGAAGGCCCUAUGGGUUGUAAAACUCUGUCAGAUUGGGAAGAAAACCUUACGGUUAAUACCCGUAAGGCUUGACGGUACCAUCAGAGGAAGCACCGGCUAACUCCGUGCCAGCAGCCGCGGUAAUACGGAGGGUGCAAGCGUUGUUCGGAUUCACUGGGUAUAAAGGGUGCGCAGGCGGCCUUAUAAGUCAGAGGUGAAAUAUGUCGGCUCAACCGGCAAACGGCCUCUGAAACUGCCAGGCUUGAGUUCGAGAGAGGUAGGUGGAAUUCCUGGUGUAACGGUGAAAUGUGCAGAUAUCAGGAAGAACACCCGUGGCGAAGGCGACCUACUGGCGCGGAACUGACGCUGAGGCACGAAAGCUAGGGUAUCGAACGGGAUUAGAUACCCCGGUAGUCCUAGCCGUAAACGAUGUCUACUAGGUGUCGGGGGUUUCUCCCCCCUCGGUGCCGCCGCUAACGCAUUAAGUAGACCACCUAGGGAGUACGAUCGCAAGGUUGAAACUCAAAGGAAUUGACGGGGGCCCGCACAAGCGGUGGAGCAUGUGGUUUAAUUCGAUGCAACGCGAAGAACCUUACCGGGACUUGACAUCCAAGGGACAGGCGUAGAGAGCCGGCGUGCCUUUCGGGCCGCUGGACAGGUGCUGCAUGGCUGUCGUCAGCUCGUGUCGUGAGAUGUUGGGUUAAGUCCCGCAACGAGCGCAACCCUCGAGUUUAGUUGCCAUCAGGUUAUGCUGGGCACUCUAGACUGACUGCCGGUGACAAACCGGAGGAAGGUGGGGAUGACGUCAAGUCAGCAUGCCCCUUACGCCUUGGGCUACACACGUCCUACAAUGGCCGGGACAGAGGGCAGCGAAACCGCGAGGUGAAGCGAAUCCCAGAAGCUUGCCUCAGUUCAGAUUGCAGGCUGAAACUCGCCUGCAUGAAGGAGGAAUCGCUAGUAAACGCAGAUCAGCAUGCUGCGUUGAAUACGUUCCCGGGCCUUGUACACACCGCCCGUCACACCACGAAAGUUCGUUCAACCCGAAGUCGUCAGGCGAACCCGCGAGGGGCGCAGGCGCCGAAGGUCGGCGUCGCGAUUGGGGUGAAGUCGUAACAAGGUAGCCGUAG
This 1526-nucleotide ribosomal RNA is filed under the name uncultured prokaryote. Its description in RNAcentral is "partial 16S ribosomal RNA". It matches the Rfam family "Bacterial small subunit ribosomal RNA". The record is from RNAcentral.